UCAGUACGUACAGUAUUUACAGGAGAAGGUACAGAAGUAUGAAGGACCAUAUCAGCCUUGGAGCUCAGAGCCUACAAAGCUUAUGCCAUGGAGAAACAGUCAUUGGCGCAUGCAAAGUUUACCUGCACAGCCACAUGCCUUGAAGAAUGGUAGUGGCCCAGAAUCAACAUACCUGGGAAGGUUUGAUGAAAAUCUCGCUACUGUUACUUCUACGAUGCAACCAAAUCAGCAGAAUCCAAUUGAAUCUCAUACUAGCAGGGAUGUAUCAUUUAAAGCACUUGAUCAACAAAAUGAACUAGCUAACAAGUCAAUCACAACACCCAUUCCUCUUCAGGCCGGUAUGAAGAUGUCAGUGCCAAACAAUAGUGCUUUCUCAGAGCCUCAACCCAGACCAGUGUCUGAUCAAUGUCCUAACACAAUUGAUGCUCUGAAUCAUGACGAGGAUGACGUAAUAGAUGGAGGCAGAAUCAGCCUUUCAAGUUCAUACUCGCAGGGGUUUCUAACUUCGUUGUCGCAAGCGCUGCAGAGUACUGGUCUAGAUCUUUCAAAGGCUACUAUCUCAGUGCAGAUUGAUUUUGGGAAGCGCGCAAACCAAGCAAUGACCUCAGGGCCAUCUAUUGCGAAGGAUGACGAGAAUCCUACUCUCUCUGGUCAUCAACAUACGGAUCAUUUCAGAGAGGCAAGCAAUGACGAAGAUAUGAACCAAGCUCAAAAGAGGCUGA
Molecule: unclassified non-coding RNA, 722 nt
Filed under: Hevea brasiliensis (rubber tree)
Lineage: Eukaryota; Viridiplantae; Streptophyta; Magnoliopsida; Malpighiales; Euphorbiaceae
Source: RNAcentral